CGACUCCAUGAAGCUGGAUUCGCUAGUAAUCGCGCAUCAGCCACGGCGCGGUGAAUACGUUCCCGGGCCUUGUACACACCGCCCGUCAAGCCAUGGAAGCCGGGAGUGCCUGAAGUACGCGACCGCAAGGAGCGUCCUAAGGUAAAACCGGUGACUGGGGCUAAGUCGUAACAAGGUAGC
Molecule: ribosomal RNA, 180 nt
Filed under: uncultured bacterium
Lineage: Bacteria
Description: partial 16S ribosomal RNA
Rfam family: Bacterial small subunit ribosomal RNA
Source: RNAcentral